GAUGAACGCUGGCGGCGUGCCUAAUACAUGCAAGUCGAGCGAACAGACGAGGAGCUUGCUCCUCUGACGUUAGCGGCGGACGGGUGAGUAAAACGUGGAUAACCUACCUAUAAGACUGGGAUAACUUCGGGAAACCGGAGCUAAUACCGGAUAAUAUAUUGAACCGCAUGGUUCAAUAGUGAAAGACGGUUUUGCUGUCACUUAUAGAUGGAUUCGCGCCGCAUUAGCUAGUUGGUAAGGUAACGGCUUACCAAGGCGACGAUGCGUAGCCGACCUGAGAGGGUGAUCGGCCACACUGGAACUGAGACACGGUCCAGACUCCUACGGGAGGCAGCAGUAGGGAAUCUUCCGCAAUGGGCGAAAGCCUGACGGAGCAACGCCGCGUGAGUGAUGAAGGUCUUCGGAUCGUAAAACUCUGUUAUUAGGGAAGAACAAAUGUGUAAGUAACUAUGCACGUCUUGACGGUACCUAAUCAGAAAGCCACGGCUAACUACGUG
Molecule: ribosomal RNA, 497 nt
Filed under: uncultured bacterium
Lineage: Bacteria
Description: partial 16S ribosomal RNA
Rfam family: Bacterial small subunit ribosomal RNA
Source: RNAcentral